CAGCCCUUGACAUGGGACUCGCCGGGAGCAGAGACGCUCCCUUCGGUUCGGCCGGAGUCCGCACAGGUGCUGCAUGGCUGUCGUCAGCUCGUGUCGUGAGAUGUUGGGUUAAGUCCCGCAACGAGCGCAACCCUCGCCCUUAGUUGCCAGCAUUUAGUUGGGCACUCUAAGGGGACUGCCGGUGAUAAGCCGAGAGGAAGGUGGGGAUGACGUCAAGUCCUCAUGGCCCUUACGGGCUGGGCUACACACGUGCUACAAUGGUGGUGACAGUGGGCAGCGAGCACGCGAGUGUGAGCUAAUCUCCAAAAGCCAUCUCAGUUCGGAUUGCACUCUGCAACUCGAGUGCAUGAAGUUGGAAUCGCUAGUAAUCGCGGAUCAGCAUGCCGCGGUGAAUA
This 395-nucleotide ribosomal RNA is filed under the name uncultured bacterium. Its description in RNAcentral is "bacterial SSU rRNA". It matches the Rfam family "Bacterial small subunit ribosomal RNA", at positions 975 to 1368 of the family's 1533-position model. The record is from RNAcentral.